CCAAAUUUUAUAAAAUUUAAAUGCCAUUUAAUUAAGAGGUCAAGUGGGCAAGUGGGUAGAAAAGCACUCAAGUACCUUGUGAUAUUUUGAAGAGUAUUGUGAGCAAUUCCCACACUAAGAACCGAUCACUCUCCAUCUCUCAUUCACUAUCAUCUUUUUUGAAGACCUCUCAAAGUGUUCUCUCCAUUUUUCAAGCCCAAGAACACCAAGGAAACUUUGAGGCUAAGUCUUGGUCUAGGAAGUAUUUUCCCUAAGUUGGUUAGGGUUUUUGAAAGGUUUUGGAGGAGCCAAAGCUAAUAGGAAGGUCCAAACCUUAAGCAAGAACACCAAAGAGUAUUGGCUAAGCGUAACUGGACUGAACGUUGGAGGGUGAAAACUUGCUGAGCGCUAAGGACUCCAAUAGAUUAUAUUUGUUGACGCCAUUUCGGAGGGAGCCCAGGAGGAUAGCCAUGCUAUUCGUCCUGAGGAAUCCGGUGCUGCAGGUGCUGAGAAGGCCAAGGAGACUUCUCUUCCUCGACUCUGAUCUCGGGGAAACCAUUUAUUGGGGCUGCGUCCCCUUAUUUCUGUAAUUAUUUUAAUUUAUGCCCUCGGGGCUGAUACAAUUUCUUUAAAUAUUACUUAUGUAUGCUUUACAUUUCUUGGCUCGAAAUAUUUAGCACAUUUUAUAUUGAUGAAUCAGUUAUGUUUAUUUAGUCAUACAAACAUAUUGUGGAUUUAGGUUCGAAGCUCAAUGCAUUCAUGCACAGUUUGUUCAAAUUAUCCGCUUCCGACCUCAUUAUUUUUCAAAGUCGGAUAUUACUCCAACCAUGAACCCAAAAGUACUUAUAUGGUAUGUAAUGUGGAUGGUUUGGUUAUAUCUUUUUUGCUUAGUCACUUUUUCUCAUCCUCGGUUUUUGCUCCAAGGUUAAGAGUUCGAAACUGUCUUCUUUAAGAUAUUCCAGCCUCGAUUUCGAAGUACGUUUAGGUUCUUACUUACCAUCGAUUAAUUAAAUUUUUUUUUCUUUUUUGGCUGGUUUGUUCCA
Long non-coding RNA from Humulus lupulus (European hop), 1022 nucleotides. RefSeq lists it as uncharacterized. The record is from RefSeq and is a predicted model, not a curated record. The transcript has 4 exons. NCBI's taxonomy places the organism in Eukaryota, Viridiplantae, Streptophyta, Magnoliopsida, Rosales, Cannabaceae.